This 468-nucleotide ribosomal RNA is filed under the name uncultured bacterium. RNAcentral's name for it is "partial 16S ribosomal RNA". The stretch from base 20 to 332 matches the Rfam family "Bacterial small subunit ribosomal RNA", at positions 47 to 358 of the family's 1533-position model. The record is from RNAcentral.
GACGAACGCUGGCGGCGUGCUUAACACAUGCAAGUCGAACGGAAAGGCCCUGCUUUUGUGGGGUGCUCGAGUGGCGAACGGGUGAGUAACACGUGAGUAACCUGCCCUUGACUUUGGGAUAACUUCAGGAAACUGGGGCUAAUACCGGAUAGGAGCUCCUGCUGCAUGGUGGGGGUUGGAAAGUUUCGGCGGUUGGGGAUGGACUCGCGGCUUAUCAGCUUGUUGGUGGGGUAGUGGCUUACCAAGGCUUUGACGGGUAGCCGGCCUGAGAGGGUGACCGGGGAGGGUGGGAAUGAGAGAGGGGCGGGAGGACGACGGAAGGCGGGAGGGGGGAGUGGGGCACAGGGGGCGGGGGUCGGACACAGCAAUGGCGGGUGAGGAAGGACGGACGACGGUGGGUAAAAAAGGAUCGACUGCGACCAAGCGGGCGGGAGGGGAAUGAAUAAAGAAGAAGAGGAGACUUCUGUG